This 515-nucleotide ribosomal RNA is filed under the name uncultured bacterium. RNAcentral's name for it is "partial 16S ribosomal RNA". It matches the Rfam family "Bacterial small subunit ribosomal RNA", at positions 28 to 523 of the family's 1533-position model. The record is from RNAcentral.
GAUGAACGCUGGCGGCGUGCCUAAUACAUGCAAGUCGAGCGAAUGGAUUAAGAGCUUGCUCUUAUGAAGUUAGCGGCGGACGGGUGAGUAACACGUGGGUAACCUGCCCAUAAGACUGGGAUAACUCCGGGAAACCGGGGCUAAUACCGGAUAACAUUUUGAACCGCAUGGUUCGAAAUUGAAAGGCGGCUUCGGCUGUCACUUAUGGAUGGACCCGCGUCGCAUUAGCUAGUUGGUGUGGUAACGGCUCACCAAGGCAACGAUGCGUAGCCGACCUGAGAUGGUGAUCGGCCACACUGGGACUGGGACACGGCCCAGACUCCUACGGGAGGCAGCAGUAGGGAAUCUUCCGCAAUGGACGAAAGGCUGACGGAGCAACGCCGCGUGAGUGAUGAAGGCUUUCGGGUCGUAAAACUCUGUUGUUAGGGAAGAACAAGUGCUAGUUGAAUAAGCUGGCACCUUGACGGUACCUAACCAGAAAGCCACGGCUAACUACGUGCCAGCCGCCGCCGCAG